UGAAGUCGGAAUUGCUAGUAAUCGCGGAUCAGCAUGCCGCGGUGAAUACGUUCCCGGGCCUUGUACACACCGCCCGUCACACCAUGGGAGCCGGUAAUACCCGAAGUCAGUAGUCCAACCUCGUGAGGACGCUGCCGAAGGUAGGAUUGGCGACUGGGGUGAAGUCGUAACAAGGUAAC
RNAcentral lists this ribosomal RNA (179 nucleotides) under uncultured bacterium. RNAcentral's name for it is "partial 16S ribosomal RNA". It matches the Rfam family "Bacterial small subunit ribosomal RNA", at positions 1321 to 1500 of the family's 1533-position model. The record is from RNAcentral.